RNAcentral lists this ribosomal RNA (606 nucleotides) under uncultured bacterium. Its description in RNAcentral is "bacterial SSU rRNA". It matches the Rfam family "Bacterial small subunit ribosomal RNA", at positions 331 to 929 of the family's 1533-position model. The record is from RNAcentral.
CCAGACUCCUACGGGAGGCAGCAGUGGGGAAUCUUCCGCAAUGGGCGCAAGCCUGACGGAGCAACGCCGCGUGAGUGAAGAAGGUCUUCGGAUCGUAAAGCUCUGUUGACGGGGACGAACGUGCCUAAUGCGAAUAGUAUUAGGCAAUGACGGUACCCAUCGAGGAAGCCACGGCUAACUACGUGCCAGCAGCCGCGGUAAUACGUAGGUGGCGAGCGUUGUCCGGAAUCAUUGGGCGUAAAGGGAGCGCAGGCGGGCAUGUAAGUCUUUCUUAAAAGUGCGGGGCUCAACCCCGUGAUGGGAAAGAAACUAUGUGUCUUGAGUACAGGAGAGGAAAGCGGAAUUCCCAGUGUAGCGGUGAAAUGCGUAGAUAUUGGGAGGAACACCAGUGGCGAAGGCGGCUUUCUGGACUGCAACUGACGCUGAGGCUCGAAAGCCAGGGGAGCGAACGGGAUUAGAUACCCCGGUAGUCCACGCCGUAAACGAUGGAUACUAGGUGUAGGAGGUAUCGACCCCCCCUGUGCCGGAGUUAACGCAAUAAGUAUCCCGCCUGGGAAGUACGAUCGCAAGAUUAAAACUCAAAGGAAUUGACGGGGGCCCGACAAG